CUAGCUUGUAUUGCAUGAUGACCACUUGUAAACUGGUAUCUCAAGCGUCUGUGCUACUCUUAUCCACAAUGUUGAAAUUCCGUCUGUGUUUUUGGUCACUUUCAGUAAACUUUUCUUUGCUUUUUGUUGGUAGGCGAUUCUGUUUAAAAGAUUAAAAUAUGGUUUCAAAAGACCGUAAGAAACCUACUGGAUCUCCAAAAGUACAAGUUGGGGAGAUAGAUACAAGUGCACCAUUUCAGUCUGUCAAAGAUGCUGUUAACUUGUUUGGGGAAGGUGCAUUCUCAGGGGAAAAACCUGCAAUCAGGAAGCCAAGACCUCAGUCCGCAGAGGUAAAUAAUACUGUGGUUCAAAAUGUAUAUCGUUAUCCUGAAUGGAGAAGCUUGGUGUUUUUAUUAUGACAUUUUUUAUUUUUUUUUGAUAAAAGUUAAAGUUGUAUUCUUCAGCAUUAAGGGUAUGCUGGCUACCUCCAAAAAGUUACAAGCUGACACCAUAAUUACAUAGAUCCUAGGAAAUCUACCAACUGUUCUACUUCUUCUAUACCAUCUUCUUUACACCAAAAAAACAACAUGUUAAUGCAAUUUUCUUUAACUUUCUGAAUAGAGUUAGUAAUAUUCUCAUGACACCUAAGGUUUCUUUCUCUCCAAAUAGCCCACCAGACACAAGUAGGUACUAUAGACCACCAUCUUUUUUGGGUCUUGCUCCCCCCCCCCUCCUCAUCCAGCAGCUCAAGAGAUCAGCAGUGUUUUUAUUAUGACAUUUUAUCUGCAUUGUUUGUGUUAAACAUUCGUUUUAUGAUUAAGAUUGAAUUAAUACCUUAUUGAGCUUUCUUCUCCCUCUCCUAUUUCCAAGAUCGAAACAAAGAAAAGUUGGAGAAUGGACAUCUAAGCAAAGUUUCCUUUUGUCUAACAAAUACUUGUAAUUUGUCUUUUACAUCAAGUAAGUCAUGUUGUCAUAGAAAUUUGUGCGUGCAUGCAUCUCCAUCUAUUCAUCGAACUUUUUUCUGGUGUAUGUGUCUUUGAAGCAUCUUCUUUCUUUGAUUAUUCAAAUGUUUUCACAUGGUGUUUAAUGACUUCGAAGUGUUCAUAAUUAUUUGGUGCUUCAUUUUAUAGUUUCAGAACUUUUUCACUAAAUGGUAAAUACGCUCAUACUUGAGUCUUUUGAGUACUGAAUGUAACAUGUAAUCAGGUGCUCUCAGGAGUGCAUGAAUGCAAAAGUAUUUACACCUAAGGAUUGGUUAGUGUUCUGAGACAGCAAUAAAAUAGCCUCACCUAAGUACCCUUAUCUUGUCUUGAUUUCAGAGGGUACUGGCAAAGGAAACACAGCUUCACUUAGCCCAGAAAGAGCUGAACAAGUUGAAGGAACAGUUGAAAAAUGCAGAAACCACUAGAGCCCAAGCACUUACUGAGCUCGAAAGGGCAAAACGGACCGUUGAUGACCUCACCAAAAAGCUUAAAAUUGUUUGCGAGUCAAAGGAUUUGGCUGUCAAGGCGACAGAAGCAGCAAAGAGUCAGGUGAACCAACUUGAAGCACCAAAUGAUGGCUCUGUUAUGGGGAAGGAUGGUUCUUGGAAAGUGGAUCUGGAAACUGCAAGAGAAAAGUAUAUGGCUGAAAUAGCUGAUCUUGAUAAAGCAAAACAAGAGCUGAGGAAAAUCCGCCAGGAUUGCAAUACAUUUAUGGAAGAAAAAACUGGCGCUAUUGAGCAGGCAGCAGAAGCUGAGCGUACUGCCAAAGCAAAUAUGGAAAGAGCUAGUGAGCUCUCCAAGGAAAUAGCAGCUGUCCACGAGUCGGUUGAUCAACUAAAACUUGCUUGUGUGCAGGAGCAGGAAGAGGAGGCAAAGAUUUAUGCUGAAAAGAAUGUCCAGAAGCAGUCCUACAAGGCUAAACUUGAAGAGUCAGCAGAGAAGUUACUUGCUUUGAAGAAAGAGACUGAUGCAGAUUUAGCCAAGAGUCUUGAAGCACAGUUAGCUGAAACAAUGUCUGAAAUUGAAGCUUUGAGGAAAGAAAUGGACAGUGCGAAGUCUUCUGACCUUGAUACGGUGAAAGUUGUCACUGCAGAGCUGGAUGAUGCUAAGGACUCACUACUUAAGGUCGCAGAAGAAGAGAGUACUCUCCAAACCUUGGUGGAGACCCUUAAACUGGACCUGGAGAAUGUCAAGAAAGAACAUUCUGAUCUGAAGGAGAAGGAGGCAGAGACAGAAUCACUUG
This 2205-nucleotide long non-coding RNA is filed under the name Solanum tuberosum (potato). Its description in RNAcentral is "long non-coding RNA (STUB_LNC007776)". The record is from RNAcentral. Lineage: Eukaryota; Viridiplantae; Streptophyta; Magnoliopsida; Solanales; Solanaceae.